RNAcentral lists this long non-coding RNA (696 nucleotides) under Phascolarctos cinereus (koala). RNAcentral's name for it is "lncRNA (ENSPCIG00000036913.1)". Lineage: Eukaryota; Metazoa; Chordata; Mammalia; Diprotodontia; Phascolarctidae. The record is from RNAcentral.
CUCACUUGUCCUAUUUAUUUUGUCUAUUCAUAGUCCUAUUUACUUUUUCCAGGCACUCAAGAGAAGUUUCUAAAUUGGAAACCUAUGCAGAAAAAUAUCUAUUUUUUACUGGCUGUCUCACCUUAUAUUAUUAAUAAAGAACUCUACAGUGUGACUUCCACAAGAAAAAGCAGGCAAAGAAAAUCAGAAAUAUAUCCUGGGAGCUAUGAGGAAUAAUAAAUGAAUGAAUACAUUCUGCAAGGAGCAGCAACAGAAAAGGUUGGACCGAAGGACCAUCAAAGGGACACUUGCCACUAACAUGAACACGGAUGUACAGAAAAUGUGCUGCCUAACUUUUUGGCUUUUGGCAACCAUGUGAAGCAAUGAGCCAGUGUCUUCAUUUCAAAGAGAACAAGAGAAACUGAGUACUUAGUUAAUGAGAGUUGGAUACCAGCUAACAGUGAAAAAACCUAAGGCCCUUAAACCUUUUUGCAGAACAAAGAUUUUUCAAACCUGGCAGAACUGACUAUUGUAUUGAUCCUGGUAUUACAAACAAGCCUCACACAAACCAAGAAAGAUUUAAAGUAAAUACAUUUGGGACUGAAGGAAGGCUCAUAGAAUUAGAAUUAGAAGAGACUUCUGCAGUCACCAAGUCCUGUUCACUCCUGUUACAGAUGAAGAAACUAAGUCUUAUAGAACUUUAAGGACUUGCCCAAG